CUACAUUGUCAGGCAAAACCUAGGGUCCGCCCCGCCCAAUAUGAUUGGCUGACGAAAAGGAACGACACGCUCUCUGGCCACGCCCCAUAUGGGCAUGGAUUUAUACCAACAUUCCAUGUCAAUCACACAGACAGAUGUUUCCAAUCAGCAGCUGGACUGGUGUGUUUAACCAUUUAAGGACGGAGCCAAAUGUACACAUUGUGAACGAAACAAAAUGUAAACAAAACCUGGCAUUUGCGCUACAUGUCUGUCCAACCGUAAUACACCUCUUUCAUAGUAAAU
This is a non-coding RNA of Pelobates cultripes (western spadefoot toad), 282 nucleotides long. NCBI's taxonomy places the organism in Eukaryota, Metazoa, Chordata, Amphibia, Anura, Pelobatidae. The record is from the annotation of a GenBank genome assembly.